AGUGAACGCUGGCGGUAGGCCUAACACAUGCAAGUCGAACGGCAGCACAGUAAGAGCUUGCUCUUACGGGUGGCGAGUGGCGGACGGGUGAGGAAUACAUCGGAAUCUACUUUUUCGUGGGGGAUAACGUAGGGAAACUUACGCUAAUACCGCAUACGCCCUACGGGUGAAAGCAGGGGAUCUUCGGACCUUGCGCGAUUGAAUGAGCCGAUGUCGGAUUAGCUAGUUGGCGGGGCAAAGGCCCACCAAGGCGACGAUCCGUAGCUGGUCUGAGAGGAUGAUCAGCCACACUGGAACUGAGACACGGUCCAGACUCCUACGGGAGGCAGCAGUGGGGAAUAUUGGACAAUGGGCGCAAGCCUGAUCCAGCCAUACCGCGUGGGUGAAGAAGGCCUUCGGGUUGUAAAGCCCUUUUGUUGGGAAAGAAAAGCAGCAGGUUAAUACCCCGCUGUUCUGACGGUACCCAAAGAAUAAGCACCGGCCAACUUCGUG
This 492-nucleotide ribosomal RNA is filed under the name uncultured bacterium. RNAcentral's name for it is "partial 16S ribosomal RNA". It matches the Rfam family "Bacterial small subunit ribosomal RNA", at positions 29 to 507 of the family's 1533-position model. The record is from RNAcentral.